This 23-nucleotide small nuclear RNA is filed under the name Arabidopsis thaliana (thale cress). RNAcentral describes it as "snRNA_17512". Lineage: Eukaryota; Viridiplantae; Streptophyta; Magnoliopsida; Brassicales; Brassicaceae. The record is from RNAcentral.
AGGCGAAUGUUUCUUUCUUUUGC